AGUGAACGCUGGCGGUAGGCCUAACACAUGCAAGUCGAACGGCAGCACAGUAAGAGCUUGCUCUUACGGGUGGCGAGUGGCGGACGGGUGAGGAAUACAUCGGAAUCUACUUUUUCGUGGGGGAUAACGUAGGGAAACUUACGCUAAUACCGCAUACGACCUACGGGUGAAAGCAGGGGAUCUUCGGACCUUGCGCGAUUGAAUGAGCCGAUGUCGGAUUAGCUAGUUGGCGGGGUAAAGGCCCACCAAGGCGACGAUCCGUAGCUGGUCUGAGAGGAUGAUCAGCCGCCCUGGAACGGGGCCAGGGUCAAGACUCCUACGGGAGGCAGCAGUGGGGAAUAUUGGACAGUGGGCGCAAGCCUGAUCCAGCCAUACCGAGUGGGUGAAGAAGGCCUUGGGGUUGUAAAGCCCUUUUGUUGGGAAAGAAAAGCAGCAGGUUAAUACCCCGCUGUUCUGACGGUACCCAAAGAAUAAGCACCGGCUAACUUCGUG
RNAcentral lists this ribosomal RNA (492 nucleotides) under uncultured bacterium. RNAcentral's name for it is "partial 16S ribosomal RNA". It matches the Rfam family "Bacterial small subunit ribosomal RNA", at positions 29 to 507 of the family's 1533-position model. The record is from RNAcentral.